GGGGCAUUAUGGGUAAUCAGCUGCCAUCUUCUGCACAGUUGUGGUCGGGCUUUAUUUCAGUGCAGGUGCGCGCGUGUCGGUCAUGAUGAUCACCUAAUGAGGCUCGGUCACGCGUUGAUAUGCAUUCUCAAUAAAUACAAAGUGAAAUAGGUGUUGUGGUUUAGUGCGUACGAGUGAAAGAUGCAAAUGUCAAUGAUGUGGUUUACCUGAACCCGAUGAUGAGUGAGUGAAGAGGAAGGUGACGAGGAUAGGGACGAUGUGUGGCGCUCCGGGGAGGUGCAAGUCGUCGCUGCCGUGGGGGGUGUGCUGACUGUGGAGGCGUGGGUCCCUACCAGGUGUACAGGCGUGGGGGCAGACAUGCUACACGGCAGUUGAGUCCUCCAGACACGUGAUGGUGCCGAUGGGGCAAGUUCAGCAUGUCCCAGGCACCAGCAGAGAGUGGUGGAAGUAAGCUGCAGCCACCACACAAUGUGGUGGUGUAUGUGGCAGGUGAGGGGGGUGGGCCGGUGGGGCCGGGGAGGGCACAGGGGCAACACCGCCCCAUGAUCACCCCUCACCCGGUCAAGCCCACCAACCCCCACAUGGUCAAUGGAUUCAGGCUCACCAACCCAUUGCACCAGCAGCAUCAGCACCAACAUCAUCAUCAGCAACAGCAGCAACCAAAUUACAACAUGCAGAUGAACGGCAACCUUCAUCAGCAGCAGCAGUUCAUUAUGAAUAAAAUGAAUGGGUUUGAUGGAAAUGGCAACUGCUUUCCAACAAGUCAUGCACCACAACAACUACAGUACCUGCCCGGUGGCAACUUUGUCACCACCGUUACUGUGCAUGCCUCUGAGCAGACACAGCAAGUACAGCAGCAGCAGCAGCAGCAGCAGCAUGCUGUGGCAGGAAACCAACAACAGCAACAGCAACAGCAGCAGCAACAACAGAAACAAAAGCAGCCACAGCAGCAGCAGCAGCAACCACAACAACAGCAACAUCCCCAGCAGCAGCUGCAUGGCCAAGUGAGUGUGAUGGGCGCAAUGAAUGGCUACAUCCAGAAUGGUGUCAUGAUGCAAGUAAACAAUGCCAACAACAACAACCCCAUGGUGAGCAACUCUCAAGUGAUGAAUAACCAGAUGGUGACUAGCAAUACCUGCAACAAUAGCACAAUGGGGAACAGUAAUGCAAAUAAUAACAAUAAUAGCAACAGUAUUGUAGUAGCUCGGGCCAAGAACUAGUUCCCGGUGUGACUCAGUGAGAUCAGAGACGGCUGAAUCUAGUUGUAGUAGUUUAAGUUCUGAUAGUCAAGUAGAACACACUCAGCAUCAACAUACACAACAGCAACAGCAACAACAGCAGCAGCAGCAGCAGCAGCAGCAACAACUACAACAACAACAACAACAACAACAACAACCACAGCAACCACCAAGCAAUCAAGUGAAUAAUUGUCAGCCGUAUCAAGUCAGUCUAAUGAAUAAUUCACAGUACAUCAAUAACCAUAUGCAGACUAUGAAUCCAAACAGUUAUAACUGUUACCCAAACUACAUGGCCUGUCAGUCAUCUGGUGGCAAUAACACAUGUGGAGCGAAUCAAACUGGAGUGUUCAACAAUCAAAACAUAGUGCAGGCCUCCUUCCAGCAAGUGAACACGGUGCAGCACGUGCAGAUGCAAGGGGGCAGCUGCAGAUAAUGCAGCAGCAGUACCAAUACGUUCAGGGGCAGAACAUGAAUGUGAUGCAGCAGGGGCAAGGCGUCAAUGUGAAUUGUGCACAAAGACCGAAUUCGAUGCCAGCUGGGGGUAUGUUUCAGGGACAAGGGACCAAUGCAAUGCAUGGACAAAUCAUGCAUGGACAAAAUACUUGUGUGAACAAUGCCAACACAAUGCAAGGUCAGGGUAUGAAUAUGGUGACAGGUCAGCCUGGAAUGAACUCUAUGCAAAGCCAUAACAUGAAUGUGAUGCAAGGACAAGGAAUGAACAGUGCCCAGCAACAGUGUGGAAAUGUGAAUGUGAUGGGUGGUGGUGGUGGUGGUGGUGGUGGAGCAGGAGGCGGAGGAGGAGGAGGAGGAGGAGGAGGAGGAGGAGGGGGCAGUACCAGCCUAGCUAUGGGUAUGGUGUGGUGGGACAGGGCAACCUGGUGAUGGGGGGGCAGAACACUGGUCACUGUGGCAGUAUGGUGGGGCUGCAGAACCAUCAUCCGCAACAACAACAGCAACAACAGCAGCAGCCGCAGCAGCAGCAGCAAAUGGUGGCUGGCAACAUAGGUCCAGAUCACCAGCAGCAGCAGCAGCAGCAGCAGCAGCAGCCCCUCAUGAUGGGGGGUGCCAUGCAGGGCAACAUGACCAUGGUUCCUGUGGGAGCCAAGAUGGAUGGCACCAGCAUGGGUCAUGUCAACAUGAUGGGCAUCCCAGGGGGCACUGUGGGUGUAGCCAACCCCAUGUGUGGUAACAUGCCUGUGGGAGCCCCGGCGGUGCCCGCGGCUGCAGACAACAAAAACUUCAUCCCUCUGGUUGUACCAUUUGGCUGGAGAAGAGUCGUCAAUGGCGGACAAGUCGUCUAUAUCAGGAAAUUAAGGUUCGCAGUCGGGCAGGCGGUAAUGAUGGCAUCACAUUUUGGAGGCAGCACUUAUUAUCUGGGACGCACGUGUUAUCAGGGGGAGGGCGAUGCCGUUUGACAGCUGUUGCUCUUGGUCCACCUCACCUCGGGUCGGGCCGCGGCAGGACGGGCCGUAUCGCCACUCACACCGCCUGUUGUACCGAGUCGAUGGCAGCUUGUGACGGCCCGCUGGCGAGUGACGAUCAGGUUGAAUGUUCUGGCGGUGAUUGUGCCUUACUGGCCGUACUGUCCUGGCCGUUGCGGGGGAGGACGGGGAGGAGGCAGUACGUUCAGGGUGUUGGGGAGGGUAACGCUUCGUGAUGUAUGUAAGACUGCACUAAAUGUAUUCACUUAUUUCCUGCCUGAACGCUGCCAUGUGACUUGAACCAGUAACCGGAUAGAGAGGUUGUAACGGUCUUGCAGGAGCUGUGGGGUAUGAGAGAUUAAUAGCAGCAGCAACAGUAGUAACAGUAGUAAUGUAAUCUAUCUACCCGUGCAGCGAGGCGAAUGAACGAGAGAAUGAGGGGGAAGAGGAGUGAGAUGUCUUCAGUUACAGAUAAAGUACUGAAUUCAUGGAGUAUUGCUGAGAUAAAAGGGUUGUGUUUUCUUUCUUCCUGUCUUCUUUCUCCCCUUCUUUCUUCCCUCCUUGUCCUCCAGUUUCCUCUUUCCAACACGCCUUCUUGUGUCUGUUCUUCCUCGUGAUGUAAUCCUGUGUGUUCUUCGUAAGUACUGCUUCAUAAUCCUUCUCCCUCCUCCUCCUUUAUCUUCACCAGUCUUUCCUUAAUCCCUACUCUCAUUCUUCUUCCUUCCUUCUCCACCUUCGUUCUCGAUUCUGUCCAAUAAUUAUCUAUCCUCCUCCUCCUCCUCCUCCUCC
Scylla paramamosain (green mud crab) is the source of this 3448-nucleotide RNA transcript. It is a transcript of the gene named TATA-box-binding protein-like, with no coding region annotated. The transcript is spliced from 3 exons. The record is from RefSeq and is a predicted model, not a curated record. NCBI's taxonomy places the organism in Eukaryota, Metazoa, Arthropoda, Malacostraca, Decapoda, Portunidae.